CUUAAAAAGCAAACAACUCACCUUGAAAUAUAUGUUACAUUAAAAUCACUCGAUGUUCCAGGACAACUUUCUUGGGUUUUGACUUCGUCCUGAUGCAGUCCCUGCUGGGAAAUUCGUGCUCGUCCCCUGAGGCUCCGAGAUGCAGAGACCUGGGUGGCAGCUGCAGAAAAGAAGGGCAGCGCUGAAAUUCUCGGGAAGCAAGAGUAUAAACAGCGCCAUGUGUUUGGGAAUGAGCAGCUGCUGGAGUUUGCAAUUGCCUUCACUGUGCACUGAAUGCCAGGGUGGGAUGUGCGCGCUUACAUCUACGAGCUGGGCAGGAGCAGGCAGAGAGCACGGCCAUCUGAGAGCAUUUUCUAGCCUGCCCAGGAAAGAGCAGUGUCUUUGGAGUGUGAGGCAAGUCCAUGUUUCUGGGCAAGAUCGGGAUAAGUCCGCUGUGCUGGUAAGCUUUUCCCCUGCGAGACACACUGGCAAAGCUUUUCGCUACGAUGCAGUCCACUCAGGACGCAGACUAGGGCUGUCCGGAGCUGUCCGGAGGGAAGUGCCGCUCCCCCGGCGUCUUUCUGCCGAAGCCGGGCUUCGGAGCCUGCGGCUGCCACUGCCCUCAUCUGUGCACGAAGCAGCCGCUUCUUCGCCUCCGGGAGCCGCAGAGAGCGGUGGCUUGUACAAGGCGAAGAACGAAGCCGGCUUGUGCGCGCAUUCUUCGGCCUGCUAAAGGACAGUGGCUGCAGCUCCCUGCCCCUUCAAUUCACUGCUAGCAUGCUUAUGGCAAGUGUUCCAGGACUACUUUCCUGCGUUUUGACUUCGUCCUGAUGCAGUCCCUGCUGGGAAAUUCCUGCUCGUUCCCUGAGGCUCCGAGAUGCAGAGACCUGGGUGGCAGCUGCAGAAAAGAAGGGCAGCGCUGUAUUUCUUGGGUAGCAAGUGCAUAGUGUUUGGCCAAGAGUGAGCAGCUGCUGCAUUUUGCAAUUGCCUUCACUGUGCACUGAAUGCCAGGGUGGGAUGUGCACGCUUAAAACUACGAGCUGGGCAGGAGCAGGCAGAGAGCACGGCCAUCUGACAGCAGUUUGCAGCUUGCCCUGGAAAGAGUAGUCUUUCUGGAGUGUGCAGCAAGUCCAUGUUUCUGGGCAAGAUCGGGAUAAGUCCGCUGUGCUGGUAAGCUUUUCCCCUGCGAGACACACUGGCAAAGCUUUUCCCUGCAAUGUAGUCCAGUAGGGAGUCGUGGUGAUUUCGCUCCCUUCAGACC
RNAcentral lists this long non-coding RNA (1240 nucleotides) under Lonchura striata (white-rumped munia). Its description in RNAcentral is "domestica (Bengalese finch) lncRNA (ENSLSDG00000017845.1)". Lineage: Eukaryota; Metazoa; Chordata; Aves; Passeriformes; Estrildidae. The record is from RNAcentral.